UCAACUAAUUAAAAUGUGACACGUGUUAAUGGGCCCCACAAUAAUUAUCAAAAAAAAAAUUCAAUUAAAUUAAAAAGGCAAAAUGACCUUCUGAAUCCUUGUACUAUAUCGGUUUUGUAAGUUGAUUACUUCUACUUAUAUAUUUGUCAUCUGAACCCACUAAAAAGCAACAUUUUAAAUUCUUUUUUGAUGAGUGUAACACAUUCUUCCCACGUGAGCUACCACGUCAGCUGCCACUUCUGCUCAUCUGUCAUGUCAUCUGUCACGUCAUUUAAAAAAAAAAAGUAUUACAUUAAACUCCAAGUUAUUUUUAAAAUGCUAAAUAACAAAUUAAAUAUUAAAAUUAAUUUAAUUAGAUAAGAAAAAUUUAUAAUUGUAGAAAAAUUUGAAUAAUCAUGUUUUUAUUUUAGCUCACAUUUUAAUUUUAAUAUUAUUUUUAUUAAAAAUAUUUUUAAAGUAUUGUUAAAUUUUUAAAAAAUAUUUUAAAAUUUUUAAAAGUAUUUUAAAAUUAAAAAACAUGGAGGGAAAAAAAGAACUCUUUUUUAAUUAUUUUUUAAUUUUAAUAUUAUUUUUAUUAAAAAUAUUUUUAAAGUAUUGUUAAAUUUUUAAAAAAUAUUUUAAAAUUUUUAAAAGUAUUUUAAAAUUAAAAAACAUGGAGGGAAAAAAAGAACUCUUUUUUAAUUAUUUUUUAAUUUUAAUAUUAUUUUUAUUAAAAAUAUUUUUAAAGUAUUGUUAAAUUUUUAAAAAAUAUUUUAAAAUUUUUAAAAGUAUUUUAAAAUUAAAAAACAUGGAGGGAAAAAAAGAACUCUUUUUUAAUUAUUUUUUAAUUUUAAUAUUAUUUUUAUUAAAAAUAUUUUUAAAGUAUUGUUAAAUUUUUAAAAAAUAUUUUAAAAUUUUUAAAAGUAUUUUAAAAUUAAAAAACAUGGAGGGAAAAAAAGAACUCUUUUUUAAUUAUUUUUUAAUUUUAAUAUUAUUUUUAUUAAAAAUAUUUUUAAAGUAUUGUUAAAUUUUUAAAAAAUAUUUUAAAAUUUUUAAAAGGAUUUUAAAAUUAAAAAACAUGGAGGGAAAAAAAGAACUCUUUUUUAAUUAUUUUUUAAUUUUAAUAUUAUUUUUAUUAAUUUUUUAUUAUUUUAAUGUAAAAUUGACUAAAAAUUGACUUCACUCGCACCUCAGGCGAGUGGCUACACUCUCUUUAUGCUAGUCAUCAUUUCAAUGAACAUAGAUAAGGUUAACGGUUCAAGGGUUCAGAUAAUAAAAAUAUAAGUAGAAAUGUCAACUAACAAAAUCAACAUCGUACAAGGAUUCAGAAGAUAUUUUAUCAAUUAAAAAAAAACAAAUCUAAUCUCUACCCUCGCCGCCCCAGCCCUCACCCCAACCCCCAACCCUCACCCCUACCCCUACCCCUACCCCUUCUUCUUCCCCAUUUCUUUUACAACUUAAUCUCCAUUAUUUUAUACUAACUGAUCUGUGUAUCUCCAUUAUUUUAUACUAACUGAUCUGUGUUGUUUUUUACAACGUUUUUCUUUCAUUUGAGCAGAGUGAAAAUCAGCCUCUGUACAUGCCUAACUAGUAGUUGGCUGUUAAUUGUAAAUAGUAGUACCAUUUACUCGUUACUCAGAAUCUGCAAUGUCUUCUUUGGCUGCGCUCAGUUCUAGCCUCUUCAAUGGAGGAGCUUCCACUUGGAAAUAUCAGGUCAACAUUAUUAUACCUCAGUUUUUCAAUCCAGAUUUUGUAUUGUUUUUUUCCUAAAAUUAGUUGGGAAAAAUCCAGGCUUUAUGAAUUUUUAUAUAAUAAUCUUUUCGUUUCGUUUUAGUUGGCCUCUUUCUAAAAAUAUGAGGAGUUUACUAUGUUCUUCUAAUACUAUUUUUAAUAUUAAAUGACUAAACAAAGUAUAUUUACUCAAAUUUAAAUUUUUAAAAUAUAAUUAAUAAGAUUAAUUUAGUAAAAUAAAAUUUCUAAUUAAUAUCUUUUUAGUGGGUGUGUCAAGUCAAUAAAGAUCAACUAAUAUAAAAUAGAGGAAAUAAUUCAACUGAAAAUUAGCUUAGCUUGCUGUUUGUUUUACUGCUUUGUUGGAGGAGAUGAAUGUGUCUAAGGUUGGGAAGCUCAGACUUAGAGUUACUUCAAUGCGGCGGCGGCGUCAUCACCAGCGCAAAUACAAGCUUUGCAGAUAAUAAAGCUAAUAAAUUGGACAAUUGUAGGGUGAGGGUUGUGAAGAAGAUAAUGAAAGGGGUGAAGAAGACAAUGAGGGGUUGCCUUUCUUUUAAAUUAAGAAAUUAGGAUAAUUAAAGAUUAUAUUAAUAAAAUAAUUUAAAUAUAAUUUUUUAAAUUAAAAANNNNN
RNAcentral lists this long non-coding RNA (2338 nucleotides) under Capsicum annuum. Its description in RNAcentral is "long non-coding RNA (CANN_LNC004598)". Lineage: Eukaryota; Viridiplantae; Streptophyta; Magnoliopsida; Solanales; Solanaceae. The record is from RNAcentral.